UACGUAGGGCGCAAGCGUUGUCCGGAAUUAUUGGGCGUAAAGAGCUCGUAGGCGGCCUGUUGCGUCCGCUGUGAAAUCCCGGGGCUCAACCCCGGGCCUGCAGUGGAUACGGGCUGGCUAGAGGCAGGCAGGGGAGAACGGAAUUCCUGGUGUAGCGGUGAAAUGCGCAGAUAUCAGGAGGAACACCGGUGGCGAAGGCGGUCCUCUGGGCCUGUACUGACGCUGAGGAGCGAAAGCGUGGGGAGCAAACAGG
Molecule: ribosomal RNA, 253 nt
Filed under: uncultured bacterium
Lineage: Bacteria
Description: partial 16S ribosomal RNA
Rfam family: Bacterial small subunit ribosomal RNA
Source: RNAcentral